GCCCCAUUGGCGGAAUUGGUAGACGCGCUCGACUCGAAAUCGAGUUCCGAAAGGAGUGCUGGUUCGACUCCGGCAUGGGGCACCA
Molecule: transfer RNA, 85 nt
Rfam family: tRNA
About the family: Transfer RNA (tRNA) molecules are approximately 80 nucleotides in length.